RNAcentral lists this ribosomal RNA (323 nucleotides) under uncultured eukaryote. RNAcentral describes it as "partial 18S ribosomal RNA". It matches the Rfam family "Eukaryotic small subunit ribosomal RNA", at positions 1470 to 1796 of the family's 1831-position model. The record is from RNAcentral.
CCCUUAGAUGUUCUGGGCAGCACGCGUGCUACACUGAUAUUGCCAAUAUGUCAUUCUUAUCCGAAAUGGAUUGGGUAAUCAAGUAAUGAAAUUUCAUGCUUGGAAUCGGUAAUUGCAAUUUUAUCGUGAACGAGGAAUUCCUAGUAAGCACUAGUCAUCAGCUAAUGUUGAUUAUGUCCCUGCCCUUUGUACACACCGCCCGUCGCUACUACUGAUUGGGUGUUCAAGUGAGAUGCUUAGACCCUUGUUGCAUGGUUCAUUAUUGUGCUCCGAAAGGAAAAAGUUUCAAGCUUGAGUGUCUAGAGGAAGUAAAAGUCGUAACA